Molecule: ribosomal RNA, 830 nt
Filed under: uncultured bacterium
Lineage: Bacteria
Description: bacterial SSU rRNA
Rfam family: Bacterial small subunit ribosomal RNA
Source: RNAcentral
UUAGGCCUAACACAUGCAAGUCGAACGCCCCUUCGGGGGAGUGGCAGACGGGUGAGUAACGCGUGGGAACCUUCCCUGUGGUACGGAAUAACUCAGAGAAAUUUGAGCUAAUACCGUAUACGCCCUUCGGGGGAAAGAUUUAUCGCCAUAGGAUGGGCCCGCGUCGGAUUAGCUUGUUGGUGAGGUAAUGGCUCACCAAGGCGACGAUCCGUAGCUGGUCUUAGUGGAUGAUCAGCCACACUGGAACUGAGACACGGUCCAGACUCCUACGGGAGGCAGCAGUGGGGAAUAUUGGACAAUGGGCGAAAGCCUGAUCCAGCCAUGCCGCGUGAGUGACGAAGGCCUUAGGGUUGUAAAGCUCUUUUGGCGGGGACGAUAAUGACGGUACCCGCAGAAUAAGCCCCGGCUAACUUCGUGCCAGCAGCCGCGGUAAUACGAAGGGGGCUAGCGUUGUUCGGAAUCACUGGGCGUAAAGCGCACGUAGGCUGACUGGUCAGUUGGGGGUGAAAUCCCGGGGCUCAACCUCGGAACUGCCUUCAAUACUGCCAGUCUUGAGUCCGAGAGAGGUGAGUGGAAUUCCUAGUGUAGAGGUGAAAUUCGUAGAUAUUAGGAAGAACACCAGUGGCGAAGGCGGCUCACUGGCUCGGUACUGACGCUGAGGUGCGAAAGCGUGGGGGAGCAAACAGGAUUAGAUACCCUGGUAGUCCACGCCGUAAACGAUGAAUGCUAGCCGUCGGGAAGCUUGCUUUUCGGUGGGGCAGCUAACGCAUUAAGCAUUCCGCCCUGGGGAGUACGGGCCGCAAGGUUAAAACUCAAAGGAAUUGACGGGG